AUUGAACGCUGGCGGCAGGCCUAACACAUGCAAGUCGAGCGAGCGGCGGACGGGUGAGUAAUGUCUGGGAAACUGCCUGAUGGAGGGGGAUAACUACUGGAAACGGUAGCUAAUACCGCAUACAAUCAGAUGAGCCUAAGUCGGAUUAGCUGGGUGGUGGGGUAAAGGCCGACCAAGGCGACGAGCGGUAGCGGGUCUGAGAGGAUGAUCCGCCCAACUGUGACUGGGACACGGCCCAUAAUCCUACGGGAGGCAGCAGUGGGGAAUAUUGGGCCAGGGGGCGAACCCUGAGCCAGCCAUGCCGCGGGUGUGGAGAAGGCCUUAUGGUUGUAAAGCCCUUUAAGCGAGGAGGCGUUACUCGCAGAAUAAGCACCGGCUAACUCUGUGCCAGAAGCCGCGGUAAUUC
Molecule: ribosomal RNA, 406 nt
Filed under: uncultured bacterium
Lineage: Bacteria
Description: partial 16S ribosomal RNA
Rfam family: Bacterial small subunit ribosomal RNA
Source: RNAcentral